GUGCUCGCUUCAGCAGCACAUAUACUAGAAUUGGAACGAUAGAGAUUAGCACGGCUCCUGUGCAGGGAAGACACACAAAUUUAUGAAGAGUUAAAAAAAAAA
Molecule: small nuclear RNA, 102 nt
Organism: Artibeus jamaicensis (Jamaican fruit-eating bat)
Lineage: Eukaryota; Metazoa; Chordata; Mammalia; Chiroptera; Phyllostomidae
Source: RefSeq, a predicted model, not a curated record